GCCUUCUCAGGCCACGAACAUGGACUGUACAAAACUAGAGGAUGGGAUGAGGUCCCAGGACCCAGCGUGUAAGUCACAGAAGCCGUCCCACGAAGUCCCUCUUCGAAAUUAUCCUUCCUUUUUCUUUGAAUAUCAAAAGAUAUAGUAAGUGACUGAUUGUAAAUCCCUUGAGAACUGAGUUUGACCUCUGCAACUUAUGAAUACACUUAUCAUACGCUGCAGGAUUCUAAGAUGACCUCCAGGAUCCCUACUUGCUGUACAAUCCUCAGGACUGUGAAGAUGAUGGAUUUUACUGCUGUGAUUAAGUUAUAUGGCACAUUCGACUUGAAGAAAGGGAGAUUAUUCUGGGAAUAUGUAGCAGUACAAAGUGCUAACGUCGUGUGGAUUUGAACCCCCAUCCUCGAGAGCAAAAGAAGGCUGGGGAUUGCCAAAUGUCAACUCAGCUGUGUCAGCCAUGGGACCCCAAGUCUCCAGCCAUGUCCAGUUCUCUGCAGACACUGAAUGCCUGUGCCAAGGCAAGCUGUCCACAACUGCUGCUGGAAGAGUGGUGCAGAGCCAACCGUUGGAAAUAUUGGUCACCUCAGCCUACGUGUGGGCCCAGUUCAUGAUGCAGUUGGAGCAUGUUAACCUGUGGUUGAAAUGACAGAGCAGGCAUAGGUACUAACAGAGGUAAAUCACGUCUCUCAAGCAAAAUACAGGCUAACCUUUCAUCCCUGGAUAACAAUGCAGCCAACAAGGGAUUUUGCCCUGGAUGAUGGUACCACACCUUCUCAGCUCCCCAUGGUUCUUUUGAGUCCUGUAUCUGUGCCAAAGUCACAGGGGAACUCAUAAUAGGUCACACAAGCAAUACAUAUAUUCCCUGGAGGAGGGUGCCUUCCCUGGCCAUUCCCCUACAAACAGUCAACUGCAGGGGCCAUGUAUUGAAUACCCAAGGAGUGACAUGCAAGUCAUAGUGUAUGCCCUACCCCCAGGGAGCUACGAUGGCCAACCACUGGCAGUGGGGGGCUUGGAGGGUCCAUGGCCACAGCCAGGUUUUCUGUUCCCCUGCCUUCAAGGGCGUUGGGGCUGGUAACAACAGGUUACUGUUCAUCCCCAUACCUGGUUGGAGGAGGUCACCCUUGGUAUGUAUCUGCAACCGGAUGGGGAUGGUGGCCCAGUGUAACAAAGCCACCACCAGAAGUGGGCCAACUUUCUGUGGCUGUUAAUUCAAGGAUUGAAGUACCAGGUCCAGCCUGGAACUCCAGCCCCACAAAGACAGGGGUGUGACAUGCAAGCAUAACCCAUUCUUUAAGAGCCUCUUAUACCACUCAAUUAUAUGUGCAGCUUGCGGGUUAUAUAGUACAUGGAAUCCCCACUUUAUGUCCACUUGUUAUGCCCAUUUUUGUGCCUGUUGUCCAGUGAUAUGUGUUCUCUUAUCACUCUCAACAGCCAGAGGGCGAUCAUACAGGGCAUAUAAGUGUUGCAGGGCCUGGAUGGUGUUCUGUUAGUUGGCCACUCUGCAAGCAUAGGUGAACAACAGGCUCAUGACUGUGUCCACAGCUGUUAACACAUGCAUAUACCCUUGCAACUUCAGCAGCAGCCUAAUGUAAUCUACUUGCCACUUGGUCAAGGGCACUCACCCUAUUGUCGUUUGUUGUGUAAUAUUGGGCCCCUGCCUCCAUUUAGGGUGUGCCUGAGCAUAUGCCAGGCAUUUCUGACAAGCCUCUCAAAUGCCUUGCUUGGGCAGGAAUAGACCCCAAUGCUUAUUGACCCGUUAAAUCAGUUCACCCCCCGGCAUGUCCCAGUUUCCAGUGUAGCCACAAGGCCACAUCUCAUGUUGGUGCUGACUAACCAUCGGAUCUUAACCAAGGCAUCUGCUUCAUCAUUGCCGGGGGUAGUGAAAGGCAUAUGGCCUGAGACAUGAUAAAGAGUUACCUCUUUCUGAUGACCCAUUUCCCAAAGGUCUUGCCACAUGACUUGGCCCCAAAUGGGUCAGUGGCUGACUAACCCCUUUUGUAUUUUCCAGGUAGUUAACCAUAAGGUUAAGCCUUGAUAGACUGCCCAGCUACCGAUACAGAUAACUAUAGGUGUCACCUCCUUGGUGAUCACCAUCCAUACUACUCUAAGUUCAGCCCAUUGGCUACUUUGUCCAUACCUGGUUUCAAACCAUACGGUGUCAGUACUAGGUUGGACUGCAACAGCAGUCCAGGCAGCAGUAGCACCUUGGCUAGACCCAUCUGUGUACCAUGCCCCAUCGGGAAUAGGGGGACACCCUUAAACAGUGAAGGCUCAGGGUCUAGGGGCACCUCAGGCCCCAUGGCCUUAUCUUACAUUAGGACUACAGGUUCAGGUUUUAAGACCUCUUGCAACUCUGCUGCUAAGGGACUUGUACUCAGCGUUCUCCACUGCUCCAAGUAGGCACCCCACUUUGGCAAAGUGGCUGUCUGAGCCAUCCCAGUCCAGGAGGUCAUUACCCAUGAAUGUACCCAUCCUGCUUUUAGGUAAGUCAUCUGCAUGAUGACUGCAGCCCAUCCUGUCACACUCUUACAAGCCUGAAAGGUGGCAUACACAGCUGCUAGCUGUUUCUUUAUGAAGGAAUACCAGAGCUCAACUCCCUUCCAUAGUUAGGACUAAAAGCCUACUGGCGUUCUCAAGCACUCCACGUGCUGCCACAGGCCCCAGCUGAAGCCAUCUGUGGUCACAUGCAUACCAACUCAAACAGGCACCCCUGGUCAACUACCUGUAGGGCUUGUGCCUGCUGAAUAGCCCAUUUGGCUGCCAGGAAGGUGGUCUCAGCUGCAUCAUCCCAAUCCCAAGUAGGUCCCUUUUUUUAUUAACCAUGCAACAGUUUUAUCAUCUAAGCUAAAUGGGGCACAGAUGUCCAACAAUAUCCCACAACAAUGUCCCACAAAAGUUUACAGCUGCUUCACCGUGGUGGGCCAGGGAUAUGCCUGAAUCUUAUCAAUAAUAGCCUCUGGGAUGGCCUUUGUCUUACCCAACCAGAUAACUCCCAAGAAUCUGGCAGAUAAUCCAGGCCCUUGGACCUUGGAUUCAUUGACAGCCCAACCACAUGCUGCCAAAUGUUGCUGCAAGAGGGGCAUCACCGCUUCUAAAUCUGCAAGAGAAUCAGAGGUUAACCUAAUAUCAGUAAUAUAAUGCAAUAGGCAGACCCCUUCUGACAUUGUCAGGUGGCUAAAUCCAUGGCAACUAGACCAUGACAUAUGGUGAGGCUAUGCACAUAGCCCUGUGGCAACACUGUAAAAGUCCACUGUUGCCCUUUCCACAAGAAGGUGAACUGUUCUGGUUCUCUGGAGCGAUUUCUAUGGAGAAAAAUGCAUUGGCCAAGUCCACUACAUAGUGGUACUGUCCCAGUUCCAUCGUCAAAUGGUCCAUCAAAUCCAUGAUUGAUGGUACAGCUGCAUGCAAAGGGGGUGUUAAUUUAUUCAGUUCCUGAUAGUCCACCGCCAUCUGCCAAGUUCCAUCAGGCUUUCUAACUGGCCACACUGGAGAAUUGUAGGGGCUGUGGGUGCCACGCACUAUCUGCACCUCCUCCCGCAUCUUAAUUGUCUCAGUUAUCUCUGUAUGCCCACCCAGCAAAUGGUAUUGACGGGUGGAAGUAACCCACUGGGGUUGUGGUAGGACCUGAGGCUGGUGAUGCGUAUGUCCACGCAGAACUGGCUUCACCACAUGCACUCAGAGCCUGAAUUCCGCGGCCAUACUUUGUAACACCAGGCCAUGUAAAAUGUCCACCCCCAGAAUGUAUUCAGAUGUGGGAGAGAUACACACAGUAUGUAAACGGAGAGCCAAACGGCCAAUGCCAAGGUGCAGAGAUACAGGUUUCACUUUCACUGACCAGCCUCCAUAACCAUCAAUGUAAGCAGGUUUGCCCAGAGACUUAUUUGGGUUCCUAUAAACAAGGCUGCCAUCGGCGCCAGUAUCCAC
Pan troglodytes (chimpanzee) is the source of this 3921-nucleotide long non-coding RNA. RefSeq lists it as uncharacterized. The transcript has 5 exons. Lineage: Eukaryota; Metazoa; Chordata; Mammalia; Primates; Hominidae. The record is from RefSeq and is a predicted model, not a curated record.